This 26-nucleotide small RNA is filed under the name Bombyx mori (domestic silkworm). RNAcentral's name for it is "ovarian small RNA-15090". The record is from RNAcentral. Lineage: Eukaryota; Metazoa; Arthropoda; Insecta; Lepidoptera; Bombycidae.
GAAAUAUCAAAAGAUUUAGAUCAGCC